CGGCAACGGAGUGGAGUUGCCAGCAAGAUUGGUGAAAGGAGUCCAGUGAGAUCCACAGAGCUCCCCAAGUCACCAUCCUGGGGGUCUGUCUGGCGUUACCUGCCACCUGAGACUAGUGUGUUUCUAAGCACCCCUUCCACAAACAAAGCAGGUUUUACUCAGUGCUUCAAGCUUCCUAGGCUUGCAGCUGUGGCUCAUUGGCCGCUGGCUGAGCUCUCCUCGCUGAUUUGAGCACUGCAGUACCUUCCCUGCAUGCCCUUCUAUUGCAAAGACAAAUGCAGCUUCUUAACUGAAUUUUUAACCAGACCUAGAAGGAAAACAGAUGUUUGCAUCUUUCUCCCUGCCCCAUUCCUUCCUUUCAGAAUAGCUGGUGCAGAAGUGCUUGUUUAAACC
Molecule: long non-coding RNA, 393 nt
Organism: Zonotrichia leucophrys gambelii
Lineage: Eukaryota; Metazoa; Chordata; Aves; Passeriformes; Passerellidae
Exons: 4
Source: RefSeq, a predicted model, not a curated record